Molecule: ribosomal RNA, 1000 nt
Filed under: Cytobacillus kochii
Lineage: Bacteria; Bacillati; Bacillota; Bacilli; Caryophanales; Bacillaceae
Description: bacterial SSU rRNA
Rfam family: Bacterial small subunit ribosomal RNA
Source: RNAcentral
UGGGGCGUGCUAUACAUGCAGUCGAGCGAAUCUGAGGGAGCUUGCUCCCAAAGAUUAGCGGCGGACGGGUGAGUAACACGUGGGCAACCUGCCUGUAAGACUGGGAUAACUCCGGGAAACCGGGGCUAAUACCGGAUAAUAUCUAUUUAUACAUAUAAUUAGAUUGAAAGAUGGUUCUGCUAUCACUUACAGAUGGGCCCGCGGCGCAUUAGCUAGUUGGUGAGGUAACGGCUCACCAAGGCGACGAUGCGUAGCCGACCUGAGAGGGUGAUCGGCCACACUGGGACUGAGACACGGCCCAGACUCCUACGGGAGGCAGCAGUAGGGAAUCUUCCGCAAUGGACGAAAGUCUGACGGAGCAACGCCGCGUGAGUGAUGAAGGUUUUCGGAUCGUAAAACUCUGUUGUUAGGGAAGAACAAGUACCGGAGUAACUGCCGGUACCUUGACGGUACCUAACCAGAAAGCCACGGCUAACUACGUGCCAGCAGCCGCGGUAAUACGUAGGUGGCAAGCGUUGUCCGGAAUUAUUGGGCGUAAAGCGCGCGCAGGCGGUUCCUUAAGUCUGAUGUGAAAGCCCACGGCUCAACCGUGGAGGGUCAUUGGAAACUGGGGAACUUGAGUGCAGAAAAGGAAAGUGGAAUUCCAAGUGUAGCGGUGAAAUGCGUAGAGAUUUGGAGGAACACCAGUGGCGAAGGCGACUUUCUGGUCUGUAACUGACGCUGAGGCGCGAAAGCGUGGGGAGCAAACAGGAUUAGAUACCCUGGUAGUCCACGCCGUAAACGAUGAGUGCUAAGUGUUAGAGGGUUUCCGCCCUUUAGUGCUGCAGCAAACGCAUUAAGCACUCCGCCUGGGGAGUACGACCGCAAGGUUGAAACUCAAAGGAAUUGACGGGGGCCCCCACAAGCGGUGGAACAUGUGGUUUUAUUUCGAAGCAACGCGGAGAAACUUUACCAGGUGUUGGGGUCCUCCGGAAAAUCCUAAAAAAAAGGACUUUUCCCC